CCUACGGGUGGCUGCAGUGGGGAAUAUUGGACAAUGGGGGCAACCCUGAUCCAGCCAUGCCGCGUGUGUGAAGAAGGCCCUCGGGUUGUAAAGCACUUUCAGUGAGGAAGAACGCCUGGUGGUUAAUACCCAUCAGGAAAGACAUCACUCACAGAAGAAGCACCGGCUAACUCCGUGCCAGCAGCCGCGGUAAUACGGAGGGUGCGAGCGUUAAUCGGAAUUACUGGGCGUAAAGCGCGCGUAGGUGGCUUGAUAAGCCGGUUGUGAAAGCCCCGGGCUCAACCUGGGAAUGGCAUCCGGAACUGUCAAGCUAGAGUGCAGGAGAGGAAGGUAGAAUUCCCGGUGUAGCGGUGAAAUGCGUAGAGAUCGGGAGGAAUUCCAGUGGCGAAGGCGGCCUUCUGGACUGACACUGACACUGAGGUGCGAAAGCGUGGGUAGCAAACAGGAUUAGAUACCCUAGUAGUC
Molecule: ribosomal RNA, 465 nt
Filed under: Vreelandella stevensii
Lineage: Bacteria; Pseudomonadati; Pseudomonadota; Gammaproteobacteria; Oceanospirillales; Halomonadaceae
Description: partial 16S ribosomal RNA
Rfam family: Bacterial small subunit ribosomal RNA
Source: RNAcentral